GUUGAGGAGAAUGUCGUCUGGUUCGAGAUCUUUCAUAAGAAGGUAACAUGCAAUGAGAUGAUUUCGGACCAGGCUUCAUUCCCCUCAAC
Non-coding RNA from Solanum tuberosum (potato), 89 nucleotides. Lineage: Eukaryota; Viridiplantae; Streptophyta; Magnoliopsida; Solanales; Solanaceae. The record is from Rfam.